GUGGCGCACGGGUGCGUAACGCGUAUGCAACCUACCUUAAUCAGGGGGAUAGCCUCUCGAAAGAGAGAUUAACACCGCAUAAAAUCACACUUCGGCAUCGAAGAAUGAUCAAAUAUUUAUAGGAUUAAGAUGGGCAUGCGUGACAUUAGUUUGUUGGUGAGGUAACGGCUCACCAAGACUACGAUGUCUAGGGGAUCUGAGAGGAUGACCCCCCACACUGGUACUGAGACACGGACCAGACUCCUACGGGAGGCAGCAGUAAGGAAUAUUGGUCAAUGGGGGCAACCCUGAACCAGCCAUGCCGCGUGCAGGAAGACGGCCCUACGGGUUGUAAACUGCUUUUAUACGGGAAUAAACCUCUCUACGUGUAGAGAGUUGAAUGUACUGUAAGAAUAAGGAUCGGCUAACUCCGUGCCAGCAGCCGCGGUAAUACGGAGGAUCCAAGCGUUAUCCGGAUUUAUUGGGUUUAAAGGGUGCGUAGGCGGCCUAUUAAGUCAGUGGUGAAAUCUUUCGGCUCAACCGGAAGCUUGCCCUUGAUACUGAUGGGCUUGAUUACACUUGAGGUAGGCGGAAUGUGACAAGUAGCGGUGAAAUGCAUAGAUAUGUCACAGAACACCAAUUGCGAAGGCAGCUUACUAAGGUGUUAAUGACGCUGAGGCACGAAAGCGUGGGGAUCAAACAGGGUUAGAUACCCUGGUAGUCCACGCCCUAAACGAUGAAUACUCGAUGUUAGCGAUAUACAGUUAGCGUCAAAGCGAAAGCGUUAAGUAUUCCACCUGGGGAGUACGCCCGCAAGGGUGAAACUCAAAGGAAUUGACGGGGGCCCGCACAAGCGGA
This 837-nucleotide ribosomal RNA is filed under the name uncultured bacterium. Its description in RNAcentral is "bacterial SSU rRNA". It matches the Rfam family "Bacterial small subunit ribosomal RNA", at positions 95 to 933 of the family's 1533-position model. The record is from RNAcentral.